Molecule: ribosomal RNA, 241 nt
Filed under: uncultured Stenotrophomonas sp.
Lineage: Bacteria; Pseudomonadati; Pseudomonadota; Gammaproteobacteria; Lysobacterales; Lysobacteraceae
Description: partial 16S ribosomal RNA
Rfam family: Bacterial small subunit ribosomal RNA
Source: RNAcentral
AAUACAUCGGAAUCUACUCUGUCGUGGGGGAGUAACGUAGGGAAACUUACGCUAAUACCGCAUACGACCUACGGGUGAAAGCAGGGAUCUUCGGACCUUGCGCGAUUGAAUGAGCCGAUGUCGGAUUAGCUAGUUGGCGGGGUAAAGGCCCACCAAGGCGACGAUCCGUAGCUGGUCUGAGAGGAUGAUCAGCCACACUGGAACUGAGACACGGUCCAGACUCCUACGGGAGGCAGCAGCC